CAGUCGAACGAACUUCCGUUAAUUGAUUAUGACGUGCUUGCACUGAAUGAGAUUUUAACACGAAGUGAGUGGCGGACGGGUGAGUAACACGUGGGUAACCUGCCCAGAAGCAGGGGAUAACACCUGGAAACAGAUGCUAAUACCGUAUAACAGAGAAAACCGCCUGGUUUUCUUUUAAAAGAUGGCUCUGCUAUCACUUCUGGAUGGACCCGCGGCGCAUUAGCUAGUUGGUGAGGUAACGGCUCACCAAGGCGAUGAUGCGUAGCCGACCUGAGAGGGUAAUCGGCCACAUUGGGACUGAGACACGGCCCAGACUCCUACGGGAGGCAGCAGUAGGGAAUCUUCCACAAUGGACGCAAGUCUGAUGGAGCAACGCCGCGUGAGUGAAGAAGGGUUUCGGCUCGUAAAGCUCUGUUGUUAAAGAAGAACGUGGGUGAGAGUAACUGUUCACCCAGUGACGGUAUUUAACCAGAAAGCCACGGCUAACUACGUGCCAGCAGCCGCGGUAAUACGUAGGUGGCAAGCGUUAUCCGGAUUUAUUGGGCGUAAAGCGAGCGCAGGCGGUCUUUUAAGUCUAAUGUGAAAGCCUUCGGCUCAACCGAAGAAGUGCAUUGGAAACUGGGAGACUUGAGUGCAGAAGAGGACAGUGGAACUCCAUGUGUAGCGGUGAAAUGCGUAGAUAUAUGGAAGAACACCAGUGGCGAAGGCGGCUGUCUGGUCUGUAACUGACGCUGAGGCUCGAAAGCAUGGGUAGCGAACAGGAUUAGAUACCCUGGUAGUCCAUGCCGUAAACGAUGAUUACUAAGUGUUGGAGGGUUUCCGCCCUUCAGUGCUGCAGCUAACGCAUUAAGUAAUCCGCCUGGGGAGUACGACCGCAAGGUUGAAACUCAAAAGAAUUGACGGGGGCCCGCACAAGCGGUGGAGCAUGUGGUUUAAUUCGAAGCUACGCGAAGAACCUUACCAGGUCUUGACAUCUUCUGCCAACCUAAGAGAUUAGGCGUUCCCUUCGGGGACAGAAUGACAGGUGGUGCAUGGUUGUCGUCAGCUCGUGUCGUGAGAUGUUGGGUUAAGUCCCGCAACGAGCGCAACCCUUAUUACUAGUUGCCAGCAUUCAGUUGGGCACUCUAGUGAGACUGCCGGUGACAAACCGGAGGAAGGUGGGGACGACGUCAAAUCAUCAUGCCCCUUAUGACCUGGGCUACACACGUGCUACAAUGGAUGGUACAACGAGUUGCGAAACCGCGAGGUUUAGCUAAUCUCUUAAAACCAUUCUCAGUUCGGACUGUAGGCUGCAACUCGCCUACACGAAGUCGGAAUCGCUAGUAAUCGCGGAUCAGCAUGCCGCGGUGAAUACGUUCCCGGGCCUUGUACACACCGCCCGUCACACCAUGAGAGUUUGUAACACCCAAAGCCGGUGGG
RNAcentral lists this ribosomal RNA (1419 nucleotides) under Pediococcus sp. RNAcentral's name for it is "bacterial SSU rRNA". It matches the Rfam family "Bacterial small subunit ribosomal RNA", at positions 59 to 1434 of the family's 1533-position model. Lineage: Bacteria; Bacillati; Bacillota; Bacilli; Lactobacillales; Lactobacillaceae. The record is from RNAcentral.